Molecule: transfer RNA, 67 nt
Filed under: Enchelycore pardalis (leopard moray eel)
Lineage: Eukaryota; Metazoa; Chordata; Actinopteri; Anguilliformes; Muraenidae
Description: tRNA-Cys
Rfam family: tRNA
About the family: Transfer RNA (tRNA) molecules are approximately 80 nucleotides in length. Their secondary structure includes four short double-helical elements and three loops (D, anti-codon, and T loops). Further hydrogen bonds mediate the characteristic L-shaped molecular structure. tRNAs have two regions of fundamental functional importance: the anti-codon, which is responsible for specific mRNA codon recognition, and the 3' end, to which the tRNAs corresponding amino acid is attached (by aminoacyl-tRNA synthetases). tRNAs cope with the degeneracy of the genetic code in two manners: having more than one tRNA (with a specific anti-codon) for a particular amino acid; and 'wobble' base-pairing, i.e. permitting non-standard base-pairing at the 3rd anti-codon position.
Source: RNAcentral
AGUUUUGUAGUGUAGCGGCACGCCAGAUUGCAAACCUGGGGGCGCAGAGUAAAGUCUGCCAAAACUU